This is a long non-coding RNA of Rhinopithecus roxellana (golden snub-nosed monkey), 629 nucleotides long. RefSeq lists it as uncharacterized. The record is from RefSeq and is a predicted model, not a curated record. NCBI's taxonomy places the organism in Eukaryota, Metazoa, Chordata, Mammalia, Primates, Cercopithecidae. The transcript is spliced from 3 exons.
AAGCUUCAGGCAGCCAGGACAGGCAGAUGGCACGCACCACCCCCUCUAUGUGAGAUGGGUGCUACCAGGCCUCUGUGCUCUGCACAGAAGAGCAGCCUGAUAAAUCCGCACAGCAAGUGACUCGCUGCAGCACCCAGGGAGCGCCCAGCUUCUCCAGCGCCUUAUCCAUCACACUCAGGACCCACAAGAAGCUCCACACACCAAGGGCCUGUCAUAAGCGUCUCCCCAGAGCUCCCACCCUCUACCCUGGGCGAAGGAACGCUGACUUCAAGAAGCCUCCCUAAAAACCCACGAGGACAGGGUUUGGAGAGACCCUGCACUCCAUGGAUCAGCUGGCACCCCCCAGAAUGAUAAACUGGCUCAUCCCAUCUUGUGGCCCCCACCCAGGAACUGACUCAGCGCAAGAGGACACCUUCAACUCCCUAGGUUUUCAUCUCCAACUCACUGGCCCCUACACACCAAGUUAUCCUUAAAAACUGAUCCCGAAUGCUCGGGGAGACUGAUUUGAGUCAUAAUAAAACUCCAUUCUCCUGCACAGCUGGCUCUGCACGACUCACUCUUUCUCAAUCCUAAUUCCCGUCUCAGUGAAUUGGCUCUGCCUAGGCAGCGGGUGGGGUGAACCCGUUGGG